AGAGUUUGAUCCUGGCUCAGAUUGAACGCUGGCGGCAGGCCUAACACAUGCAAGUCGAGCGGUAGCACGAGAGAGCUUGCUCUCUGGGUGACGAGCGGCGGACGGGUGAGUAAUGUCUGGGAAACUGCCUGAUGGAGGGGGAUAACUACUGGAAACGGUAGCUAAUACCGCAUAACGUCUACGGACCAAAGUGGGGGACCUUCGGGCCUCACGCCAUCAGAUGUGCCCAGAUGGGAUUAGCUAGUAGGUGGGGUAAUGGCUCACCUAGGCGACGAUCCCUAGCUGGUCUGAGAGGAUGACCAGCCACACUGGAACUGAGACACGGUCCAGACUCCUACGGGAGGCAGCAGUGGGGAAUAUUGCACAAUGGGCGCAAGCCUGAUGCAGCCAUGCCGCGUGUGUGAAGAAGGCCUUAGGGUUGUAAAGCACUUUCAGCGAGGAGGAAGGGUUCAGUGUUAAUAGCACUGUUCAUUGACGUUACUCGCAGAAGAAGCACCGGCUAACUCCGUGCCAGCAGCCGCGGUAAUACGGAGGGUGCAAGCGUUAAUCGGAAUUACUGGGCGUAAAGCGCACGCAGGCGGUUUGUUAAGUCAGAUGUGAAAUCCCCGCGCUUAACGUGGGAACUGCAUUUGAAACUGGCAAGCUAGAGUCUUGUAG
Molecule: ribosomal RNA, 657 nt
Filed under: uncultured bacterium
Lineage: Bacteria
Description: bacterial SSU rRNA
Rfam family: Bacterial small subunit ribosomal RNA
Source: RNAcentral